GGAGAAAUGGCAGAGUGGUCGAAUGCACCAGUCUUGAAAACUGGCGAGGGUCACACCUCCGGGGGUUCGAAUCCCUCUUUCUCCGCCA
This 88-nucleotide transfer RNA is filed under the name Winogradskyella sp. PC-19. Its description in RNAcentral is "tRNA-Ser". It matches the Rfam family "tRNA". Rfam says of the family: Transfer RNA (tRNA) molecules are approximately 80 nucleotides in length. Their secondary structure includes four short double-helical elements and three loops (D, anti-codon, and T loops). RNAcentral also lists the same sequence under 3 other names. The record is from RNAcentral. Lineage: Bacteria; Pseudomonadati; Bacteroidota; Flavobacteriia; Flavobacteriales; Flavobacteriaceae.